Molecule: ribosomal RNA, 466 nt
Filed under: uncultured bacterium
Lineage: Bacteria
Description: bacterial SSU rRNA
Rfam family: Bacterial small subunit ribosomal RNA
Source: RNAcentral
GCCCAGACUCCUACGGGAGGCAGCAGUGAGGAAUAUUGGUCAAUGGGCUUACGCCUGAACCAGCCAAGUCGCGUGAGGGAUGACGGCCCUAUGGGUUGUAAACCUCUUUUGCCGGGGAGCAAAGUGCCGCACGUGUGCGGUUUGGAGAGUACCCGGAGAAAAAGCAUCGGCUAACUCCGUGCCAGCAGCCGCGGUAAUACGUAGGGGGCAAGCGUUAUCCGGAUUUACUGGGUGUAAAGGGAGCGUAGACGGCGAAUAAAGUCUGAAGUGAAAGCCCGCGGCUCAACCGCGGAACUGCUUUGGAAACUUUUUUGCUGGAGUACCGGAGAGGUAAGCGGAAUUCCUAGUGUAGCGGUGAAAUGCGUAGAUAUUAGGAGGAACACCAGUGGCGAAGGCGGCUUACUGGACGGUAACUGACGUUGAGGCUCGAAAGCGUGGGGAGCAAACAGGAUUAGAUACCCCAGUA